GCGCCCGUACUCCAACUGGUAGAGAGUCUGGCCUUAGACACCAGGUGUUGUCGGUUCGAAUCCGACCGGGCGCA
Molecule: transfer RNA, 74 nt
Filed under: Streptomyces sp. TRM68367
Lineage: Bacteria; Bacillati; Actinomycetota; Actinomycetes; Kitasatosporales; Streptomycetaceae
Rfam family: tRNA
About the family: Transfer RNA (tRNA) molecules are approximately 80 nucleotides in length. Their secondary structure includes four short double-helical elements and three loops (D, anti-codon, and T loops). Further hydrogen bonds mediate the characteristic L-shaped molecular structure. tRNAs have two regions of fundamental functional importance: the anti-codon, which is responsible for specific mRNA codon recognition, and the 3' end, to which the tRNAs corresponding amino acid is attached (by aminoacyl-tRNA synthetases). tRNAs cope with the degeneracy of the genetic code in two manners: having more than one tRNA (with a specific anti-codon) for a particular amino acid; and 'wobble' base-pairing, i.e. permitting non-standard base-pairing at the 3rd anti-codon position.
Source: Rfam by way of RNAcentral